This 30-nucleotide non-coding RNA is filed under the name Mus musculus (house mouse). Lineage: Eukaryota; Metazoa; Chordata; Mammalia; Rodentia; Muridae. The record is from RNAcentral.
UGAAAACACUCGGACAGUGAACAGUGUUGU